Vidua macroura (Pin-tailed whydah) is the source of this 207-nucleotide long non-coding RNA. RefSeq lists it as uncharacterized. The record is from RefSeq and is a predicted model, not a curated record. NCBI's taxonomy places the organism in Eukaryota, Metazoa, Chordata, Aves, Passeriformes, Viduidae. The transcript has 3 exons.
UUUCUAUUUUUUUUCCUGGCCUACGGACUCGAGCAGCACUGCUCAAACGAUGGAGCGAGUCCGUAGAGCAGUCAGCAGCGCCUUUUCAUUGGCGGCUUCUCGGAAAGCUUUUCAUCGUUUGACUGGUCGCCUCAGACGUGGAAGGAAUCGAGUGCACGUUUUGGUCCCUCAAGGAGAGGUCCUCGCCAGUCAGGACUCCUCGGUCCA